ACGGGGCCCGCACAAGCGGUGGAGUAUGUGGUUAAUUCGAUGCAACGCGAAGAACCUUACCUGGUCUUGACAUCCCGGAGACCCUUAGGAAACUAGGGGGUGCUUCCAUCUGGAAGAAUCUGGAGACAGGUGCUGCAUGGCUGUCGUCAGCUCGUGUCGUGAGAUGUUGGGUUAAGUCCCGCAACGAGCGCAACCCUUGCCUUUAGUUGCCAGCAGUUCGGCUGGGCACUCUAAAGGGACUGCCGGUGUUAAACCGGAGGAAGGUGGGGAUGACGUCAAGUCCUCAUGGCCUUUAUGACCAGGGCUACACACGUACUACAAUGGCCGAUACAAAGGGCAGCGACACUGCGAGGUGAAGCCAAUCCCGUAAAAUCGGUCUCAGUCCGGAUUGGAGUCUGCAACUCGACUCCAUGAAGUUGGAAUCGCUAGUAACCGUGGAUCAGCAUGCCACGGUGAAUACGUUCCCGGGCCUU
RNAcentral lists this ribosomal RNA (473 nucleotides) under uncultured Desulfobulbus sp. RNAcentral describes it as "bacterial SSU rRNA". It matches the Rfam family "Bacterial small subunit ribosomal RNA", at positions 916 to 1381 of the family's 1533-position model. The record is from RNAcentral. Lineage: Bacteria; Pseudomonadati; Thermodesulfobacteriota; Desulfobulbia; Desulfobulbales; Desulfobulbaceae.